This 63-nucleotide transfer RNA is filed under the name Nitrososphaerota archaeon. RNAcentral describes it as "Thaumarchaeota archaeon tRNA-Lys". It matches the Rfam family "tRNA", at positions 7 to 64 of the family's 71-position model. Rfam says of the family: Transfer RNA (tRNA) molecules are approximately 80 nucleotides in length. Their secondary structure includes four short double-helical elements and three loops (D, anti-codon, and T loops). Further hydrogen bonds mediate the characteristic L-shaped molecular structure. tRNAs have two regions of fundamental functional importance: the anti-codon, which is responsible for specific mRNA codon recognition, and the 3' end, to which the tRNAs corresponding amino acid is attached (by aminoacyl-tRNA synthetases). tRNAs cope with the degeneracy of the genetic code in two manners: having more than one tRNA (with a specific anti-codon) for a particular amino acid; and 'wobble' base-pairing, i.e. permitting non-standard base-pairing at the 3rd anti-codon position. Lineage: Archaea; Thermoproteati; Nitrososphaerota. The record is from RNAcentral.
GUAGCUCAGCCAGGAUAGAGCACCGGGCUUUUAACCCGGGGGUCGCGGGUUCAAAGCCCGCCG